CCAAACAACUACUACUAAAACUAUGGAAAAGUCUACAAGAGAUGGUAGUGAAUUAGAGCUUCAAAUGAUGUGUUUGAGAGAGACAGCCCCUAUGCCUUAAUUUAUAUUUGAUCCAUGAUGGUUUGGUGCCAAAAAAGAGGAAACAACUGCACACAAUCAUUGCAUGGCAACAUGCAACCGCCGGCCAAAGGUGGGCCCGCUAGGUCGCGUUAGGGGUGCGAGCCACUAGUUAAAAAAGCUAC
This 242-nucleotide long non-coding RNA is filed under the name Sorghum bicolor (sorghum). RNAcentral's name for it is "long non-coding RNA (SBIC_LNC008276)". The record is from RNAcentral. Lineage: Eukaryota; Viridiplantae; Streptophyta; Magnoliopsida; Poales; Poaceae.